Molecule: ribosomal RNA, 1597 nt
Filed under: uncultured eukaryote
Lineage: Eukaryota
Description: SSU rRNA
Rfam family: Eukaryotic small subunit ribosomal RNA
Source: RNAcentral
UACCUGGUUGAUCCUGCCAGUAGUCAUAUGCUUGUCUCAAAGACUAAGCCAUGCACGUCUAAGUACAAACUAAAUGAUGGUGAAACUGCAAAUGGCUCAUUACAACGGUUAUGAUGUACCCGGGAGCUCCGAUGGAUAUUUCCAGUAACACUAGAACUAAUACAUGUCCCUGCGUUUAUUAGUUUCGCACAGUCCGUCGCUGAGUCAUGGUAAACAGUUGAUCGACUCGACAUCCCGGAACAGUUUCCGCCCCAUCAGCUUCGAUGGUUGGGUAUUGGCCUACCAUUGCAACAACGGGUAACGAGGAAUUAGGGUUUGAUUUCGGAGAGGGAGCCUGAGAAACGGCUACCACAUCUACGGAUGGCAGCAGGCGCGCAAAUUACCCAAUGCAGACACUGUGAGGUAGUGACGAGAAAUAAUAAAGCGGGACUUCUGUUUCGCUAUUAUAAUGAGGAAUAACCAAAGGUCAUUCCGAUUAGCAACUGAUGGGAAAGUCUGGUGCCAGCAGCCGCGGUAAUACCAGCGUCAGUAGCAUAUAUUAAAAUUGUUGCAGUUAAAACGUCCGUAGUCUGUACGUCGUAUAAAACUCACUGCAGUCUUCCGUUUUCUUCAUUGAAUGCGGUAGUUUCUGUAGUCACUCCCUUGAUCAAAUUAGGUUGUUCAAGGUAGACCAAGUCUUCAUAUUUUUCACAUGGGAAUUGGGUGAGGGAACUUAAGAGUUUAAGUUUCUCGUCUUAGGAUCAUCCGGGGUCAUUCGUACUCGUCCGCGAGAGGUGAAAUUCUUGGACCGGACGAAGACGACCAGCAGCGAAAGCAUCUGUCAGGGAUGUUUUCUGCGACAAAGGACGAAGGUCAGGGUAUCGAAGACGAUUAGAUACCGUCGUAGUCCUGACUGUAAACUAUGCCAACUUGGGUCUUGCUGGGCGAUGCUUUGUGAGACCCACACAGAAAUGAAAGUGUAUGGGUUCUGGGGGUAGUAUGGACACAAGUCUGAAACUUGAAGGAAUUGACGGAAGAGCACCAUAAGACGUGGAGCUUGCGGCUUAAUUUGACUCAACGCGGGAAAACUUACCAGGUCAAGACAUGGGCGUGAUUGACAGGCUAAUGACUUUUCUCGAUUCCAUGGAUGGUGGUGCAUGGUCGCACUUAGUUGGUGCAGUGAUUUGUCAGGUUUAUUCCGGUAACGAACGAGACCUCGGCCUUGUAAAUAGCUAUGCUGCUUACAGGGACAUUGGCGGCUACGCCAAGGAAGCUCGAGGCAAUUGCAGAUCUGGAAUGCCCUUAGAUGUCCUGGGUCGCACGCGUGCUACAAUGACGCCACGAACGAGUUUGCGUGAUGAAAGUCACGCAUAAUCAGCAGUCGGCGUCCUAAGGGAUAGUCUCUUGUAACUGUGGGACUCCAACUAGGAAUGUCUCGUAAGCACAAGUCAACAUCUUGUGUUGAUUACGUCCCUGCUCUUUGUACACACCGCCCGUCGCUCCUACCGAUCGAGUGUUUAGGUGAAUUUGAUGGACGCAAGGAAGUCAAAUAAACCUGAGCACUUAGAGGAAGGAGAAGUCGUAACAAGGUUUCCGUAGGUGAACCUGCAGAAGGAUC